RNAcentral lists this ribosomal RNA (330 nucleotides) under uncultured bacterium. RNAcentral describes it as "bacterial SSU rRNA". It matches the Rfam family "Bacterial small subunit ribosomal RNA", at positions 568 to 898 of the family's 1533-position model. The record is from RNAcentral.
UCCGUAGGCGGUGUGGCAAGUCGGUAGUGAAAUCUCUCGGCUUAACUGAGAGGCUGCUGCCGAAACUGCCAUGCUCGAGUGCGAGAGAGGCGAGUGGAAUUGCGGGUGUAGCGGUGAAAUGCGUAGAUAUCCGCAGGAACAUCCGAGGCGAAAGCGGCUCGCUGGAUCGCAACUGACGCUGAGGGACGAAAGCUAGGGGAGCAAACAGGAUUAGAUACCCUGGUAGUCCUAGCCCUAAACCAUCGGGACUUGGGGUUUGCCCUGUACGGGGCAAGUCCCGGAGCUAACGCGUUAAGUCCUGCGCCUGGGGAGUACGGUCGCAAGGCUGAA